AUACGGAGGGUGCAAGCGUUACUCGGAAUCACUGGGCGUAAAGCGCGCGCAGGCGGCUAUUUAAGUUGGAUGUGAAAGCCUACGGCUCAACCGUAGAACUGCAUCCAAAACUAUUUAGCUAGAGUGUGGGAGAGGAAGAUGGAAUUAGUUGUGUAGGAGUAAAAUCCGUAGAGAUAACUAGGAAUACCAAAAGCGAAGGCAAUCUUCUGGAACACUACUGACGCUGAGGCGCGAAAGCGUGGGGAGCAAACAGGAUUAGAUACCCUAGUAGUCC
RNAcentral lists this ribosomal RNA (274 nucleotides) under uncultured bacterium. RNAcentral's name for it is "partial 16S ribosomal RNA". It matches the Rfam family "Bacterial small subunit ribosomal RNA", at positions 523 to 796 of the family's 1533-position model. The record is from RNAcentral.